CCUACGGGGGGCAGCAGUGGGGAAUAUUGGACAAUGGGCGAAAGUCUGAUCCAGCCAUGCCGCGUGUGUGAAGAAGGCCUUCGGGUUGUAAAGCACUUUCAGUGGGGAAGAAAGCCUUGGGGCUAAUACCCUCGAGGAAGGACAUCACCCACAGAAGAAGCACCGGCUAACUCCGUGCCAGCAGCCGCGGUAAUACGGAGGGUGCGAGCGUUAAUCGGAAUUACUGGGCGUAAAGCGCGCGUAGGCGGUCUGAUAAGCCGGUUGUGAAAGCCCCGGGCUCAACCUGGGAACGGCAUCCGGAACUGUCAGGCUAGAGUGCAGGAGAGGAAGGUAGAAUUCCCGGUGUAGGAGUGAAAUGCGUAGAGAUCGGGAGGAAUACCAGUGGCGAAGGCGGCCUUCUGGACUGACACUGACGCUGAGGUGCGAAAGCGUGGGUAGCAAACAGGAUUAGAUACCCCUGUAGUC
This 465-nucleotide ribosomal RNA is filed under the name Vreelandella stevensii. RNAcentral describes it as "partial 16S ribosomal RNA". It matches the Rfam family "Bacterial small subunit ribosomal RNA", at positions 338 to 795 of the family's 1533-position model. Lineage: Bacteria; Pseudomonadati; Pseudomonadota; Gammaproteobacteria; Oceanospirillales; Halomonadaceae. The record is from RNAcentral.